RNAcentral lists this ribosomal RNA (484 nucleotides) under uncultured bacterium. RNAcentral describes it as "partial 16S ribosomal RNA". It matches the Rfam family "Bacterial small subunit ribosomal RNA", at positions 30 to 507 of the family's 1533-position model. The record is from RNAcentral.
AUUGAACGCUGGCGGCAGGCCUAACACAUGCAAGUCGAGCGGAUGAAGGGAGCUUGCUCCUGGAUUCAGCGGCGGACGGGUGGGUAAUGCCUAGGAAUCUGCCUGGUAGUGGGGGAUAACGUCCGGAAACGGGCGCUAAUACCGCAUACGUCCUGAGGGAGAAAGUGGGGGAUCUUCGGACCUCACGCUAUCAGAUGAGCCUAGGUCGGAUUAGCUAGUUGGUGGGGUAAAGGCCUACCAAGGCGACGAUCCGUAACUGGUCUGAGAGGAUGAUCAGUCACACUGGAACUGGGACACGGUCCAGACUCCUACGGGAGGCAGCAGUGGGGAAUAUUGGACAAUGGGCGAAAGCCUGAUCCAGCCAUGCCGCGUGUGUGAAGAAGGUCUUCGGAUUGUAAAGCACUUUAAGUUGGGAGGAAGGGCAGUAAGUUAAUACCUUGCUGUUUUGACGUUACCAACAGAAUAAGCACCGGCUAACUUCGUG